Molecule: non-coding RNA, 766 nt
Organism: Coffea arabica (coffee)
Lineage: Eukaryota; Viridiplantae; Streptophyta; Magnoliopsida; Gentianales; Rubiaceae
Source: RefSeq, a predicted model, not a curated record
UUGCUUUGACUGCGAAACUAAUUUAAGAUUUAACCAAUCAGCUGCGAAUUGAACACAGGCUUUUCGGUCUUGGGUCGUGGGUCGUGGGUCGUGGGUCCUCAAAUAAUUUGCGCAUCUAAUUGCUUGGUUUCACUACGCUUCACUUCAGAGUUCAGAGCUUCUUUGCUCUGCAUAUAUAGAAAUUCGGUCAUAUGUACGAGAGAGUGAGCGGGGAACAGAGAAAUAGAGUGACAAUGGUGAGGAUAUUAUCCAUGGCGUCGUCGAUUAAACCUUCGCUGUCCUGAUUUAGGUCUGCGGCUGCUGCAGGGCUUCCUUCUCGCUUCGCUGUACCCUUCGGUUCGUGUUUCCAGAAUUCUUGUCGCCCUCUCAGCUUAUUGCAUCUUGGCAGUGCUGAAGUGCUAGAGCAUAAGCUAAGGAAGUAUAUGAGCAGAUUCCAGUACCAAGAUUGGCUAAAAAUAACGAUGCAUUACUGCUUUCUGCUACAUACAAAAACACAAUAUAAAGGCAAAACUGAAUUAGAUACCAUCAGUUUGCUGUUGAUUCAUAGAAGACGUGGAUGCAGCAGCUUUCCUUCCUCUCCUCUUUGGAUAAGCUUCUCUUUGUUUAGCUCUAUGAGCUUCUUUUUCUUCCACUGAUAAGGAAGCAUAUUUUUCUCUUAAUCUUCGGUUGCGAACAAUGUUCUUAUUCGUUGAAUGUGUAAGUGCAUCAGUUGAAGCCAUGAUUUACAGUUUAUAGCAUGAAUAAAGGAAGCAUAAACGAAGCAAAA